RNAcentral lists this transfer RNA (82 nucleotides) under Conchiformibius steedae. It matches the Rfam family "tRNA". Rfam says of the family: Transfer RNA (tRNA) molecules are approximately 80 nucleotides in length. Lineage: Bacteria; Pseudomonadati; Pseudomonadota; Betaproteobacteria; Neisseriales; Neisseriaceae. RNAcentral also lists the same sequence under 1 other name. The record is from Rfam by way of RNAcentral.
GCGGACGUGGCGAAAUUGGUAGACGCACCAGAUUUAGGUUCUGGCGCAGAGAUGUGUGAGAGUUCGAGUCUCUCCGUCCGCA